Molecule: ribosomal RNA, 468 nt
Filed under: uncultured bacterium
Lineage: Bacteria
Description: partial 16S ribosomal RNA
Rfam family: Bacterial small subunit ribosomal RNA
Source: RNAcentral
GAUGAACGCUGGCGGCGUGCUUAACACAUGCAAGUCGAACGGAAAGGCCAGUGCUUGCACUGGUACUCGAGUGGCGAACGGGUGAGUAACACGUGGGUGAUCUGCCCUGCACUUCGGGAUAAGCCUGGGAAACUGGGUCUAAUACCGGAUAGGACAAUGGUUUGGAUGCCGUUGUGGAAAGUUUUUUCGGUGUGGGAUGAGCUCGCGGCCUAUCAGCUUGUUGGUGGGGUAAUGGCCUACCAAGGCGUCGACGGGUAGCCGGCCUGAGAGGGUGUACGGCCACAUUGGGACUGAGAUACGGCCCAGACUCCUACGGGAGGCAGCAGGGGGGAAUAUUGGACAAUGGGCGCAAGCCUGAUGCAGCGACGCCGCGUGGGGGAUGACGGCCUUCGGGUUGUAAACUCCUUUCGCUAGGGAAGAAGCGUAUUUGUGACGGUACCUGGAGAAGAAGCACCGGCUAACUACGUG